AAGAGCCGGAUGAUCGGGAAACUAUCAAGUCCGGUUCGGCCGACCUAUCUGCCUGGCUCACCGGCUACUGACGUAU
This 76-nucleotide non-coding RNA is filed under the name Rhodococcus koreensis. Lineage: Bacteria; Bacillati; Actinomycetota; Actinomycetes; Mycobacteriales; Nocardiaceae. The record is from RNAcentral.